This 1489-nucleotide unclassified non-coding RNA is filed under the name Leishmania donovani. RNAcentral describes it as "gene:LdHU3.35.7030(CDS-product:hypothetical_prote in_conserved)". The record is from RNAcentral. Lineage: Eukaryota; Euglenozoa; Kinetoplastea; Trypanosomatida; Trypanosomatidae.
AACGCGCGUGUGCACGCAUGGUUGGCGUGCGUGUCACGUAUAGGCAUUAUCAGCAGCACAUAUGUACAGAGGCGACGGUGGCAGCCACACAUGGCAUGUCAUGAGCGACAAGCAGGAGGAGUGCACCUCACGAGCCUCCGCCUCGCCUACCCCAGAUGAAGGCGAUCGGGAGUCACGACGACUUGUGCGUGAACGCGAGCGUCAGGAGCGACUGAGAGGACGGCUGACAGAUCUCACGUUCGCUGACAUUUCGUGCUCUCGGGAUGGGAAAAUGGACUUUGUAAAGCAGAACGUCAUAGUCUGCAUUAAAGGAUCGAAGUCGCAGUUCAACGCCCGCAUAGGGCGAAUGAAGAACAUCCUACCGCCCCUCACCUGCGACUGCUGUCAGACGUUCUCGACGUUGUCCGCCGUGCUGCUGUCGUCCCUCGGCUUUGCCGCAAUGCUGAGCGAGUGCUGCUCCCUCUCCACGGUGAACUAUCUUCUGUACAUUUCAGCGUGGAUGCACCAGCUGACGCUGCCGUGCUGGCCGCAGAAGCGCGUGCGGCCCACCAUCGGCGAUCUCAACGCCUGCCUUUACCUCCGGGACUUUUUCCCCAGCAAGGCAAACGCAGACGAGUUCGAGGUCGUCUUCUAUAACCAAGCUCACAAGGCAGUGGAUCUGUUGCAUGCCAUGCGCACUCCCCGCAAGCGCACACGCUCUAGCGACGGCGCGCACCCGGUGUAUGGCUACGUGAUUGUAUCAGGAGACUACACCGUCUCCGUUUUCUCCGUGGAGCACGACAUCGCGAAGGGCUCGCGUAGCCGCUACCGCGAGGCGUGGAGCUUCUACAUCUGCGACUCCCACGGCACGCAGCCGUGGUCUGAGGACAAGGCCAGCGUGUCCGGACUGACCUUUGGUCACCGUUCGCACGACGUGGACGAUACAAAAGUGGAGGAGGAGGCCAGUAACGGAAGCGGCACUGCCAGCUCGGCGGCGGACCUCUCUGUGGAGGAUGGCAUUUACUACUUCUCCACCAUUCUGUUCACUCUUCUAGAAGAACACCGCAAAGGUGCGCAGCGCACGAGUCAGGUGCCGUACAUGACGUGGACCCCGCUGCGGCGGCGGCGAUCACUGGCGUACACGGCGCAGGAGCUCAAGAGGAUUAUCGACAACCAUUGGAUUCCCAAGGUGCUGUCGAAUCCCACGGUGCAGGCCGAGGCCAAGAAAUUCUCCUUCAAACCGCUGGAGUGUUUCUGGGGAAUUGGUCCCGUAACAGCAGCGAAAACUUCCCCAGUCUCAGGUGCGUCGCCUGCAUGACGCGAGAGAGAAUGAAAACAAGCAAGCAAAAGAGUGACUUACUCCAAAUUCACACACACAUACACACACACACACACACAACAAGCGGUAUUGCGGGAGGCGAUUGCGCAAGGACUGAGGCCAACAAACUGCAUCAGCCGCGAACACGCAUACACUCCCGUGUACGAUGCCUUGCUCUGCUGCACCUCAUAC